RNAcentral lists this ribosomal RNA (253 nucleotides) under uncultured bacterium. RNAcentral's name for it is "partial 16S ribosomal RNA". It matches the Rfam family "Bacterial small subunit ribosomal RNA", at positions 524 to 776 of the family's 1533-position model. The record is from RNAcentral.
UACAGAGGUGGCAAGCGUUGUUCGGAAUUACUGGGCGUAAAGGGCGCGUAGGCGGCCUUCUAAGUCAGACGUGAAAUCCCUCGGCUUAACCGGGGAACUGCGUCUGAUACUGGAUGGCUUGAGUUUGGGAGAGGGAUGCGGAAUUCCAGGUGUAGCGGUGAAAUGCGUAGAUAUCUGGAGGAACACCGGUGGCGAAGGCGGCAUCCUGGACCAACACUGACGCUGAGGAGCGAAAGCCAGGGGAGCAAACGGG